This 253-nucleotide ribosomal RNA is filed under the name uncultured bacterium. RNAcentral describes it as "partial 16S ribosomal RNA". It matches the Rfam family "Bacterial small subunit ribosomal RNA", at positions 524 to 776 of the family's 1533-position model. The record is from RNAcentral.
UACAGAGGGUGCGAGCGUUAAUCGGAAUUACUGGGCGUAAAGCGCGCGUAGGCGGCUUUUCAAGUCGAUUGUGAAAUCCCCCGGCUUAACCUGGGAACUGCGUCUGAUACUGGGAGGCUAGAGUGCGGGAGAGGGAUGCGGAAUUCCAGGUGUAGCGGUGAAAUGCGUAGAUAUCUGGAGGAACACCGGUGGCGAAGGCGGCAUCCUGGACCGACACUGACGCUGAGGCGCGAAAGCUAGGGUAGCAAACGGG